AUUGAACGCUGGCGGCAUGCUUUACACAUGCAAGUCGAACGGUAACAGGCCUUCGGGUGCUGACGAGUGGCGAACGGGUGAGUAAUGCAUCGGAACGUGCCCAAUCGUGGGGGAUAACGUAGCGAAAGUUACGCUAAUACCGCAUAAGCCCUGAGGGGGAAAGUGGGGGACCGCAAGGCCUCACGCGAAUGGAGCGGCCGAUGUCAGAUUAGCUAGUUGGUGGGGUAAAGCCCACCAAGGCGACGAUCUGUAGCGGGUCUGAGAGGAUGAUCCGCCACACUGGGACUGAGACACGGCCCAGACUCCUACGGGAGGCAGCAGUGGGGAAUUUUGGACAAUGGGCGCAAGCCUGAUCCAGCCAUGCCGCGUGCGGGACGAAGGCC
Molecule: ribosomal RNA, 383 nt
Filed under: uncultured bacterium
Lineage: Bacteria
Description: bacterial SSU rRNA
Rfam family: Bacterial small subunit ribosomal RNA
Source: RNAcentral